UACCUACGGGACGCAGCAGUAGGGAAUUUUCGUCAAUGGGCGCAAGCCUGAACCAGCCAAGUCGCGUGAGGGACGACGGUCCUAUGGAUUGUAAACCUCUUUUGUCGGGGAACAAAGGCGCCCACGGGUGGGCGGAUGAGUGUACCCGAAGAAAAAGCAUCGGCUAACUCCGUGCCAGCAGCCGCGGUAAUACGGAGGAUGCGAGCGUUAUCCGGAUUUAUUGGGUUUAAAGGGUGCGUAGGCGGACAGUCAAGUCAGCGGUAAAAAUGCGGUGCUCAACGCCGUACAGACGUUGAAACUGGCAG
RNAcentral lists this ribosomal RNA (305 nucleotides) under uncultured bacterium. RNAcentral's name for it is "bacterial SSU rRNA". It matches the Rfam family "Bacterial small subunit ribosomal RNA", at positions 335 to 639 of the family's 1533-position model. The record is from RNAcentral.